This 888-nucleotide ribosomal RNA is filed under the name Muyocopron dipterocarpi. Its description in RNAcentral is "eukaryotic LSU rRNA". It matches the Rfam family "Eukaryotic large subunit ribosomal RNA", at positions 40 to 943 of the family's 3401-position model. The record is from RNAcentral. Lineage: Eukaryota; Fungi; Ascomycota; Dothideomycetes; Muyocopronales; Muyocopronaceae.
AUAUCAAUAAGCGGAGGAAAAGAAACCAACAGGGAUUGCCUCAGUAACGGCGAGUGAAGCGGCAACAGCUCAAAUUUGAAAUCUGGCGUCUUCGGCGCCCGAGUUGUAAUUUGCAGAGGAUGCUUCGGCGUAGGCGCCGCCCAAAGUUCCUUGGAACGGGACGUCGCAGAGGGUGAGAGCCCCGUGUUCGGGCGGAUGCCGUCGCCAUGUGAAGCUCCUUCGACGAGUCGAGUUGUUUGGGAAUGCAGCUCAAAACGGGAGGUAAAUUUCUUCCAAAGCUAAAUACCGGCCGGAGACCGAUAGUGCACAAGUAGAGUGAUCGAAAGAUGAAAAGCACUUUGGAAAGAGAGUCAAACAGCGCGUGAAAUUGUUAAAAGGGAAGCGCUUGCGGUCAGAACUUGGCCGCCGUUGCUCGGGGAGGUCUCGCGCCUCCCUCGCUCUUCGGCGGCUGGGCCAGCAUCGGUUCGGGCGGCUCGAGAAAGGUCGUGGGAACGUAGCUCCCUCCGGGGAGUGUUAUAGCCCGCGGCGCAAUAGGGCCCGCCUGGACCGAGGUCUGCGCAUCUGCUCGGAUGCUGGCGUAAUGGCCCCAAGCGGCCCGUCUUGAAACACGGACCAAGGAGUCUAACAUUCGUGCGAGUGUUCGGGCGUUAAACCCGUGCGCGCAAUGAAAGUGAACGUAGGUGGGAGCCCCUUGUGGGUGCACCAUCGACCGAUCCAAAUGUUUUCGGAUGGAUUUGAGUAUGAGCACGUAUGUUGGGACCCGAAAGAUGGUGAACUAUGCCUAAACAGGGCGAAGCCAGAGGAAACUCUGGUGGAGGCUCGCAGCGGUUCUGACGUGCAAAUCGAUCGUCAAAUUCGGGCAUAGGGGCGAAAGACUAAUCGAGCCAU